UCAAAGAUUAAGCCAUGCAUGUCUAAGUAUAAGCAAUCUAUACUGUGAAACUGCGAAUGGCUCAUUAAAUCAGUUAUCGUUUAUUUGAUAGUACCUUACUACUUGGAUAACCGUGGUAAUUCUAGAGCUAAUACAUGCUAAAAACCUCGACUUCGGAAGGGGUGUAUUUAUUAGAUAAAAAACCAAUGCCCUUCGGGGCUCCUUGGUGAAUCAUGAUAACUUAACGAAUCGCAUGGCCUUGCGCCGGCGAUGGUUCAUUCAAAUUUCUGCCCUAUCAACUUUCGAUGGUAGCAUAGUGGGCUACCAUGGUAUCAACGGGUAACGGGGAAUUAGGGUUCUAUUCCGGAGAGGGAGCCUGAGAAACGGCUACCACAUCCAAGGAAGGCAGCAGGCGCGCAAAUUACCCAAUCCCGACACGGGGAGGUAGUGACAAUAAAUACUGAUACAGGGCUCUUUUGGGUCUUGUAAUUGGAAUGAGUACAAUUUAAAUACCUUAACGAGGAACAAUUGGAGGGCAAGUCUGGUGCCAGCAGCCGCGGUAAUUCCAGCUCCAAUAGCGUAUAUUAAAGUUGUUGCAGUUAAAAAGCUCGUAGUUGAACCUUGGGCCUGGCUGGCCGGUCUGCCUCACCGCAUGUACUGGUUCGGCCGGGCCUUUCCUCCUGGGGAUCCGCAUGCCCUUCACUGGGCGUGUUGGGGAACCAGGACUUUUACUUUGAAAAAAUUAGAGUGUUCAAAGCAGGCCUUUGCUCGAAUACAUUAGCAUGGAAUAAUAGAAUAGGACGUGCGGUCCUAUUUUGUUGGUUUCUAGGACCGCCGUAAUGAUUAAUAGGGAUAGUCGGGGGCAUCAGUAUUCAGUUGUCAGAGGUGAAAUUCUUGGAUUUACUGAAGACUAACUACUGCGAAAGCAUUUGCCAAGGAUGUUUUCAUUAAUCAGUGAACGAAAGUUAGGGGAUCGAAGACGAUCAGAUACCGUCGUAGUCUUAACCGUAAACUAUGCCGACUAGGGAUCGGGCGAUGUUAUUCUUUUGACUCGCUCGGCACCUUACGAGAAAUCAAAGUC
This 1060-nucleotide ribosomal RNA is filed under the name Sphaeropsis chromolaenicola. RNAcentral describes it as "SSU rRNA". It matches the Rfam family "Eukaryotic small subunit ribosomal RNA", at positions 37 to 1105 of the family's 1831-position model. Lineage: Eukaryota; Fungi; Ascomycota; Dothideomycetes; Botryosphaeriales; Botryosphaeriaceae. The record is from RNAcentral.